Archocentrus centrarchus (flier cichlid) is the source of this 961-nucleotide long non-coding RNA. RefSeq lists it as uncharacterized. The transcript has 3 exons. The record is from RefSeq and is a predicted model, not a curated record. Lineage: Eukaryota; Metazoa; Chordata; Actinopteri; Cichliformes; Cichlidae.
UCAAAAGCAGCAUUGUAUAAGCUUAGUUUGGGGUCUGGAGCUUGAGUAUCCUGGGUUUAAUUAAUGAUCCACACACUAGUGUGUAAAUGGGUUGUUUCUUUGAUCACUACAGUUGUGUUGGUCUGUGCUAAUGUGUUUAGAAAAAAGUUUUCUGACUGAUAAGCUGGACUUUAACAGGAAAAACCUGCAUUAGGUACCACAAUGUACCACUGGAACACAGGAGAGACUGAUUGAAACUGCUCUCAAAAUGUGGAUAUUAGUAGAUAUUCCAUUCAAAGUUAUUCAGAAUUCAGAAUCAGUGUCACAAUGAAGCAAAUACAUUUCUGGUUGGUUUAAUGUUUCUUAACAUAAAACCAAAUUUCAUAGAGAAAACGAAACCUUUCUAAUUGACUUCAAACUUUUGAGCUGUGGUGUAGAUUGCACUGUGAUUAUUGAUUAGAGCAAAUGAUACAGGAGCAUCAGUACAGGGAGAGACUGUUUAAAAGUUAUGAGCUGUCUUCCUUCAAAGUUAUUCAGAGUUUAGGAUCAGUGUCACAAUGAAGAUGGGUUUCUCACUCCAUUUGGAGAAAAGUGUAAUUUUGUUCUAAUCUUCAUGGGUCGUAGCGGGAUGUACAGUUUGUGGGAGUCUCUGUUUUCCAGAUGAUCCGUUGGGGCAGGUAGCUGUCACCUCGGUGCCUACCCAUUCCUGGUGUCAUCAAGGUCAGGAGUAUUUAGAAGGAGCUGAGAUCCUUGCUGCCCGCCAGAUUAUUCUACCUCCCUGUGCAUCACCUUCCCUCAGAGCGGUAAAACCAGCCUCCACCACGCUGGAGCCCGUCUUCUCAGCCACCUGCUCUCCUGCUUACGCCUGCAUGACCCUCGGACCUCCUCAGCGCAGACUCGCUCCGCCAGCCAAGCCCCCAACCAGUCAUCAAACCUGAGUUUCUGAAUUCUCCGUGCCUGCCAGAUUAUUUUCAACCCUGGC